GCCUGUGCCCCCCUGUUCCACUGGAACGUGAUAGACGUGGGUGAACGUGAUGAGUCCCAGAACACUCCAGUGGGGAACUGCCUAGUGUUGAACACACUGACAGGGGAAACGGUCAACUUCUCCCCCUGCAGAGACAUCAUGACUGAGAAGGUUUUCAAAGUCCUGAAGUACAGUAAGAGAUCUUAGUCAUCCCAUUAGUACCUGUACAGUACAGUAACAGGUUCCUCUGUUGUCCACUCAAAAGGAGGAUUAUUGUCCCUGCUAUGCCACAGAACUACUAGGGUAUUCCUUCUUAAAACAGCAGUUGACUUCAUGUUCACAAGUUUGCCUGCUGUUUUUUCCCCACUCUGUGUGCUUUUUUGAUCCUAAUAUUGAUUCUCAGAUAACGACAGACGAUACUGUGAAGUGGGAUUUAUCUCCGACAUACCAAAGGUGCCCGCACUCCAAACAUUUCUCAUCAAACUUGAUCCUUUUGAUUCAUAUAAGGUUGUAUAUUACACAGUAAUGUAGCAGAUUAGAUCAGUAAUGGUUAGAUCCACAUGGUUUAUGCUACUGUCAGGUAGUAAUUACGCCAACAGUGUUAUGAUACCAUCUAUAACAAUUAUUUGAUUUGUCUCUUGAUGUACUAUUCUAGGAGGGAAGGCUCCUUAUUGGUGCCCCCGGAGGCUACUACUUUCAAGGUCAGAUCAUCAGUGCAGGACUGCCUGACAUUGUCAACAGUGCCAAGAGCCCGAAUGCCAAACCUUAUGUGGCUGGACAAACCCAUUCCCCUGAGACUGAUGGAUGCGAUCGUUACCAUGGUAAGAGAGUCCACGCAAGACUUGUGGUCUAAAGCAAUGGUUUUCAUGCCUCUUCUCAGAGACGCCCAGAUGUUUCACAAUUUUGUUGUAGCCCUGAGCUAGCAAACCAAAUUCACCUAAUCAAGGGUUUGAUGAUUGAGCUAGUAAACCAAAUUCACCUAAUCAAGGGUUUGAUGAUUGAGCUAGUAAACCAAAUUCACCUAAUCAAGGGUUUGAUGAUUAGUUGACAAGUUGAAUCAGGUGUGCUACCCCGAGAAGAGGUUUGAGAACCACUGGCCUAAAAUAUUCGGUCCAAUGAUAUUCAGAGACAUUAUCAUUAGUUCAAUCAACCAGAAAGGUUGAUGCAUUACACUGGUUCACCAACAGGUUAUUCUGUGGCCGCUGGUGAGUUUACUGGAGACUCCAUACCAGGUGAGAAAGAAAGUUUCCGUCAAAAGUGUUCACACAACCAGAUAAUUACUAACCUGGUCCCAGUUUGUACUAUCAUUCCAACUCAUUGUCAUGCCAAACAUUGGUUCAUUUUUGCCAUGACAAGGAUUGGAAUGGUAGCACAUUGGGCUACAGAGUGGUGCCCAGGCUAUAAAAUUACACUUCCUACACUUUAUGUGACUGGGUGAGAUAGUGACAGCUGUACAAGAUAGAAAAGGUUGAAACGUUUCUCAAUAAUGAAUGAAUUAAGUCUGUUUUGUGUUUAAAAUCCAGUACAAGUAUGUAUUUUCUGUUUCAGAUUAUGUGGUUGGAGUGCCUAAUGACUGCAACACAGCAGGCUCAGUAGGGGCUCCCGAUGGUGUUUUAAUGUUCAUUUAUUAGAGAGUGAUGUAAGCUAAUGUUUUGGUUUUGUAUCCAGUUCAAAAUCUAUAAUGGAAAUACAAUUGACUUUUUGGGAGUGAAAUACACAUUCUUAGGCUCUCAGGUGAGACUAUUCAUAUUUUAUUUUUAUUUACUUGUUUACAGGAGAGUGAUGAAGAAGUGAUCACUCUGUGACAUGUCUAUACAGAUAGGGCUUUGUGUUGAUAUCUGAGUGAUGAGCAAUGUAAGUCCACUCAAAACCACAUGCAACUUUCAUCUUGCAGGUGGCCUCUUACUUUGGCCACAGCGUUGCAGUAACUGAUAUUUAACAAUGAUGUGUAUGUCAGAACUCUCUUACUUUUUU
RNAcentral lists this long non-coding RNA (1953 nucleotides) under Oncorhynchus mykiss (rainbow trout). RNAcentral's name for it is "lncRNA (ENSOMYG00000049555.1)". Lineage: Eukaryota; Metazoa; Chordata; Actinopteri; Salmoniformes; Salmonidae. The record is from RNAcentral.